RNAcentral lists this unclassified non-coding RNA (227 nucleotides) under Hevea brasiliensis (rubber tree). The record is from RNAcentral. Lineage: Eukaryota; Viridiplantae; Streptophyta; Magnoliopsida; Malpighiales; Euphorbiaceae.
UGCAAAACAUAAAAAUUGCAAGCGAACACAAUCUUAAAUUUAGAAAGACAAGUAGUUUUCCUGCCCUAGAUAACAGAGGCCAGACCUCAUUCCUUGGAGCUUAUUUUGCAAUAUUUCAAUAUUGUUUUAAGCCAUUAAUUCACUACAGAGUCAAACAACAAACUAACAUAAAGUUUAACUCACUAUUAAGUGUUCUUAACUUUCUGCAUAUACAUGCAGGAAAAGGA